RNAcentral lists this ribosomal RNA (433 nucleotides) under uncultured bacterium. RNAcentral describes it as "partial 16S ribosomal RNA". It matches the Rfam family "Bacterial small subunit ribosomal RNA", at positions 29 to 507 of the family's 1533-position model. The record is from RNAcentral.
AACGAACGCUGGCGGCAUGCCUAACACAUGCAAGUCGAACGAUGCUUUCGGGCCUAGUGGCGCACGGGUGCGUAACGCGUGGGAAUCUGCCCUGGUGUUCGGGAUAACAGCGGGAAACUGCUGCUAAUACCGGAUGAUAUCGCGAGAUCAAAGAUUUAUCGCCCUGGGAUGAGCCCGCGUCGGAUUAGGUAGUUGGUGGGGUAAGAGCCUACCAAGCCGACGAUCCGUAGCUGGUCUGAGAGGAUGAUCAGCCACACUGGGACUGAGACACGGCCCAGACUCCUACGGGAGGCAGCAGUGGGGAAUAUUGGACAAUGGGCGCAAGCCUGAUCCAGCAAUGCCGCGUGAGUGAUGAAGGCCUUAGGGUUGUAAAGCUCUUUUAGCCGGGAUGAUAAUGACAGUACCGGGAGAAUAAGCCCCGGCUAACUCCGUG